UUUAAAGUCCACAACUCAUCAAGGAAAAUGAAAGUCAAAGUUGGCAGCUUACUUAAACUUAAUCACAGCCUUUAAUGUUGAUGAUGAUGGAACAAUGAGAUAAGUUAAUAUACCAUAUCUAUCUCAUUGUUCCAUCAUCAUCAGUACCUAAAGUGCCUAACAUCAUUAUUUAAUUUUUUUUUUUUUUGGCACACGAAUAACCAUGCCGUUUUGGAUCUUUUAAAGUCCACAACUCAUCAAGGAAAAUGAAAGUCAAAGUUGGCAGCUUACUUAAACUUAAUCACAGCCUUUAAUGUCAACAAAAUCUGAACACACAGGUAAGUUAAUAUACCAUAUCUACCUGUGUGUUCAGAUUUUGUUGGUACCUAAAGUGCCUAACAUCAUUAUUUAAUUUUUUUUUUUUUUGGCACACGAAUAACCAUGCCGUUUUGGAUCUUUUAAAGUCCACAACUCAUCAAGGAAAAUGAAAGUCAAAGUUGGCAGCUUACUUAAACUUAAUCACAGCCUUUAAUGUGGAAGAGGAGGCUGGUCAUAUUUAAGUUAAUAUACCAUAUCUAAAUAUGACCAGCCUCCUCUUCCGUACCUAAAGUGCCUAACAUCAUUAUUUAAUUUUUUUUUUUUUUGGCACACGAAUAACCAUGCCGUUUUGGAUCUUUUAAAGUCCACAACUCAUCAAGGAAAAUGAAAGUCAAAGUUGGCAGCUUACUUAAACUUAAUCACAGCCUUUAAUGUUCAGCCUCCUCCAUGAUAAAUGUAAGUUAAUAUACCAUAUCUACAUUUAUCAUGGAGGAGGCUGAGUACCUAAAGUGCCUAACAUCAUUAUUUAAUUUUUUUUUUUUUUGGCACACGAAUAACCAUGCCGUUUU
This 866-nucleotide microRNA precursor is filed under the name synthetic construct. Its description in RNAcentral is "DENV3-4miR". The record is from RNAcentral.